This is a long non-coding RNA of Leucoraja erinaceus (little skate), 5486 nucleotides long. RefSeq lists it as uncharacterized. The record is from RefSeq and is a predicted model, not a curated record. The transcript is spliced from 3 exons. NCBI's taxonomy places the organism in Eukaryota, Metazoa, Chordata, Chondrichthyes, Rajiformes, Rajidae.
GAGGGAGACUCGCUCGCUCGCUCGCACACAAGAGUCGGGUCAAACGCCACCACAGAUUCACCACAUACCGUUCACCAAUUAGAAAUCUCUUUUAGCCGAGUUAUCGUGAUUGAGAGGGGCUCUUGGAGAAGCCAAAAUAAGAAACUACAGUAUCUUUUGCCAAUGAUAUACAUUACAAUCAUUGUGUUAGCAGAGAGGUAGGAAUGCUUAGAGUGGUGAAUGAGCUACAAAUCAAGUGGAGUCUGUGUCUUGGAUGGUGAUGAGCCUGCUGAGUGUUCUUGGAUCUGCAUUCAUCCAGAUGCUGCCUGAUCUGCUGAUAGCUUCCAGCUUUUCCUGGAUUAUAUUAGAUAACAGUUCGGAUCUGAAGGUGAGUUUUGUGGGAAUGUUCAAUGGUUCUUAAUUUCACGGCGACCAAGGUAUAGUGAAAUUCUGUUUCUGCAUUCAAAUCAAUAUUGCCAUACAUAAGUACAAUCCAUGAUUAAGUACAGAAUGCCUAGACACAGCCCACUGAGUCCAUAUGCAAGUGUUGGCAGGUUUAGGCACCAUUUCUAAACUGAUCAUAAUAGCCAAUUGCAGCCAUUGCGGCCCGUGUAGGAGUUCUUCUGCCACACGAUGCCCGUCUGGAAUUCUUCUGCUGCACGCAGCACGAUUGUGGUUGGCUCUUGUACCUGGAACUUGUAUGCAAUAGAUCACGUGGAUGUGAAUGUAACAACAAAUUUAAAAUAGCAGCAGUGUCCAUCUUAGUUGCAGGACAGAACAACAAAGAAAUGCCUUAUCAUGUGAAGAAUGACAGAGAGGAAUAAUGGGAAUCAAUUGCAUUGGAGUUGGAGAGAGAUAGUAGCUAGAAAUUGGAGCACGAGAUAAUAAUAGGAAAACCAGUACAUGAAUGACGUAUCUUAAUUUUUUUAUUUACAAGAUGUGAAUAUAGAUGGAGCAAUUAACAUUUUUUUUUGCAUAUUCCCAAUUGUUUUUGAUUGUAUUGAUGAAGCUUUCUUGAAUCACCUUCUUGUCAAGAUAUUUCCAAUGUGCUGUUAGAUAGAAAUUUGCAGGAUUUAGUCCCAGCAGCAAUAUAGAACGAGUAAUAUGCUUCCAAGCCAGAAAGGUGUGUAACAUGGAGCUUGUGUGUGGUGGUGAUGUUCCCAUGCAACUGCUGCUCUUGUCCUUGGAUGGUGGUAGAGUCUGUGUCCUGGGUUGUCAGAAUUGCCCUGGCAAAUAGCUGCAAUGCAUUUGUACUCAAUUGUGUGCAAUUUAGCCAUUCGGCUCUAGUAAUGGGUGCCAAUAAAUCUUGCAACAUAUGCUUGGGCACAUCAUCACCACAUGCAGUGGUGGACUGUGUCUAAAAAUAUUGGUUGCCAGGAGACAAAGGGGGCCCACUUCAUCAGGGGCCCACUUCAUCAGGGGCCCACUUGCCAUCGGGCAAGCUGACACCCUGCCAGUCCGUCACUGACCACAUGUACGUUCCCCUCUAUAUCACAUCACACAAUGCGUAGUGCUGCGCUUUUCCAGGCAAGUUAAAUGGGAAGAGAAGUGAAAAUCUAAGAGACAGGAUAACAGGACAGGAGGGAGUAUUAGAGAUUUGGUAGGAGUCUCAAUGAUUUAUUACCCAUUAAAAUUAAUAAAUAAAAAUUUGUGAGGACCGCACAUGUGUACCUUAUGUACAUGCUCCAGUAAGACGUUCUGGCAAAUGUGCUCAAGAUAGAAAUGACUUCUGUAAAUGAGAGACAAAAGACCAGCGAUGCUGGAAAUCAGAAGUAAUAACAGACAACUGCUUUCUAAUAAAAUGGGUUCAAUCUGAAAUAUUAUUUUAUUUUUCUCUCUCCACAGAUCCUAUCUAACUGACUGAGUAUUUCUAGCAUUUUUUAUUUCAUUUGAGUGUGUGAACAAAUAGGAUAGUCUGGGAAGUGAGAGUUGAGACUAGAGAAGAAAGAAAAGGCAGAGAAUUAACAGAGGGAGAACUUUCCCCCAUACAAGAUGCAUUGGUUGUAGAAAACGCAUCAUCACUUUCGUUCUCAAGAGCUAUUAGGAGAAGUCUUUAAAUGCUGGUCUUACCAGCAGGAACCCGUAUCCAGAAAAACAAAUAAAAAUUGGAAACAAAGUGCUGGAGUAACUCAGGGGUCAGGCAGCAUUUCUGGAGAACCUGGAUAGGUGACGUUAAGGGUCAGGAUGUUGCAUGAGCCACUGAGUUACUGCAGCAGUUUGUGUCCUUGUGUAUAAACCAGUAUCUGCAGUUCCAUGUUUCCUUGUCUCUACAAAUAAAAAAUGGACUUCAGUCCAGCCACCCUGAUCCACACACUUGCGAAUUUUGUUAUAUUACAUUUAACCAUUCCCAAAAACAUGGGAGCACAACAAUGGGUUGGAUCCCUCCGUCACUCCAGCCAAGAUUUUAUGGUAUGCAAGCCUGUGAAUUCUCUGAAUCAUUCAACUGAUUUUUAGAGAGGCAUGUUGAGCAAGGUUGCUAUUUGAGCAUUAGUAAUUAAUGGUAAGAAAUAAAAGGUUUUUAUGCCUUUAAUGACCAUGUCGCCAUGAUACAAAGCAAUAAAGCAAUCAGAUAUUCAAGGUUACCACUGCAGAGGAUAAUCAUUGUUUCCAAAUCCUUUUAUCUAUGCUGACAAUACUGAAGAGCUCUUCAAGAAAAUGUCAAAGCUACAUCCUGCAAAUUUUCCGUUGCAUUCACCUAACCUAUAAAUAACAGUAACCUGCACUGAUUGCCUUUACGCAAGAGACUGACCCAUGACUAUUAAAGGUUUAUACUAAGUAUGGUGACUUUUCCCAUGUACGUUGUUAGCGUUACCAUGGAAAUCUUUACGUUUAGGUGGUCUAUUGAAAACAUCAUGUCAUGUGAUUAUACAUGAAAUUUCUUGUAUCUUUGGAAAAAUAAGCAUUAAUGGCCAAUUUAUUUGUCAAUUAAUAAUAUUUGAAUAAUGGCUUUAUCGUUGAUAGUGUUGUGAUAAUGUAAAUUUCUAGAUGGACUAUUAUUUUGGACAAAAUGUUUCUUAUAACGGGACAAUAAUUUCCAGCUUAUUUAUCUUAGAAUUGUGCUUCACGAUCCAUCUAGAAUAAGUGAUAAAUUAAAGGUCCAUAUCUUUAAAAUACAUUGUUUUUUUUUAGUAUAGGAAAGAACUGCAGAUGCUGGUUUACACCGAAGAUAGACACAAAAUGCUGGAAUAAUUCAGCAUCUGUGGAUAGAAAAAUGGGUGACAUUUUUGGUCAAGACCUAUCCUCAGACUUUUUUUAGUUUUAGUUCUGAUUUACUUUUAGCUGAAAGUUGUCUACAGCAUCCUUAGAAUGACAAAGGUUUGGGAAGACUCAUCAUGAGGAUAACAUAUCCCAGCAUGGAACAUGUAGAAAUGAAGAAUGAACAAAAUAAAUUGAGGCUUUGGUCAGGAAAAAGGAGACAUGUCAGGUAUAGGAUCUGGGAUCAAGUGUAUCGCGGGAGAAGUAUAGAGGAUUGCGGAGCAUAGAAAAGGGUUGCGAGAUAAUUCUGGCAGAUACGAUUAAAGAGAAUCCAAAGUGGUUGUAUGUAUAUUGAGGGGAAAAGGGUAACUGGAAAGAAGUACCUAGUUCCCCCAAGAUGGCAUUGCAGUUAGAUAAGGUGGUGAAGAAGGCUUUUGGCAUGUUGGCAUUCAACAAUCAGGGAAUUGAGUAGAGAAGUUGGGGCAUUAUGUUCUGGUAGCACAAAGUGUUGGUGAGGCCAUACUUGGAGUAUUGUAUUGGGUUUUGGUCAUCCUGAUAUAGGAUAGAUGCCAUUCAGAUGGAAUGGGUACUGAGAAGAUUUAUGAGGAUGCUGUUAGGACACGAGGUCCUGAGCUAUAGGCAGAGGUUGGACAGGCCAGGACUCUAUUCCUUGCUGAGGGGUGUUCUUAUAGAUGUGUAGAACAUAAUGAGGGGAACAGAUAGAGUGAAUGCAGUCUUUUUAAGGUAGAGUCUAUUUUACCAGGGUAGAGGGAUCAAGAACUAGAGGGCAUAUGUUAAGGUGAAGGAGAAAAAAUGAAUAGGAAUCUAAUGGGCAAUCUGUCUCACACGGGUUGUGGUUAUGUGGAAUGAGCUACCAGAGAAAGUAGUUGAGGCCGGUACAAUAACAACAUUUAAAAAACAUUAAAUACAAAUGUAGGAAUAGUUUAGAGGAUAUGGGCAAAUGAGAUUAGCUUAGAUAAUCAGCAUGGGCACAUUGGUUUGAAGGGCCUGUUUGCGCGUUGUAUGAUUCUAUACCAAUACUCUAUUCCUUUCAUCGACAUGAUUCCACCACCAAUUUCCUUAGAAGGGUUAUUAAUUGUGAUAAUGGUAAAGCCAAUUAUUUUUGGGUUAUUGAGACUGUGGUGAUGGUAUAUUCUCAGCAUUUUGAGGUAUCCACUAUUAGUUGCAUGUGCCUCUGAAACAUUCAGGAGGGCACAGGACACUGUUACUCGGUAAACCAUGAACUUGGGUUAGGUUUCAAGUUUGAUCUGUGAGUACUCUUUUCCACAGGUGGCUGAAGGUUGUGCUAGUGCUUUGGAAAUAUUCAUAUCCUGAAUGAUGUAGCUUGUAAAUCAGAAGAGUCUUCUUAAACAAAGCACCAGCACUGCAUAGAAAAUAGGUGCAGGAGGAGGCCAUUCGGUAAGGGGAGAAGUUUGAUUUAGCUCAUCUUUUUUUGGCACAUUGAGCUUCAUCAGCCAGAGUAUUGAGUAUAGAAGUUGGUAGGUCAUGUUGCAGUUGUACGAGAUGUUGGCAAGGCAGCACUUCGAGUAUAGUGUUGAGUUCUGAGCACCAACUUUUAGGAACGAUGUUGUCAAACUUGAAAGGGUACAGAGAAGAUUUACAAAGAUGUUGCCAGGACUAGAGGGUCUGAGCUACAGGGAGAGGUUGAGUAGGCUGAGACUUUAUUCCUUGGUGUGCAGGAGGAUGAGGGGUGAUCUUAUAAAGGUGUAUAAAAUCAUGAGAGGAAUAGAUCAGGUAGAUGCACAGAGUCUCUUGCCCAGAAUAGGUGAAUCGAGGACCAUUUGUUCAUCCUUAGAGAGUCACUUGAAGCAACGAAUAUGUCUCCUAGAAACAUAGAAAUAUAGAAACAUAGAAAAUAGGUGCAGGAGGAGGCCAUUUGGCCCUUUGAGCCAACACCGCCAUUCAUUGUGAUCAUAGCUGAUCAUCCACAAUCAGUAACGCGUGCCUGCCUUCUCCCCAUAUCCUUUGAUUCCCUUGCCCCUAGAACUCUCUUUUAAAUGCAUCCAGUGAUUUGGCCUCCACUGCCUUCUGUGGCAGAGAAUUCCACAAAUCAGUUUUAAAUGGCCUCCACUGCAGCAACCUAAUUUGCAAGUUUAGAAGAGUUUGUGCUUGACUCAAACCCGCAGCAUGGUCGACACGUGGUCCUAGGAGGUCCUAUGAGGUCACUGUAACACUCCUUCAUUCUCGGGGGAAGUUCCCGCAUACAAGUUUGGUCGAGGAAAAUUUUUAAGCAUGCUGAAAAAUUUUCCACGAGUAAAAAUUGGUCAGCGUGGUUCUUUUGAACUCAUAAU